RNAcentral lists this ribosomal RNA (253 nucleotides) under uncultured bacterium. RNAcentral describes it as "partial 16S ribosomal RNA". It matches the Rfam family "Bacterial small subunit ribosomal RNA", at positions 524 to 776 of the family's 1533-position model. The record is from RNAcentral.
UACAGAGGUCUCAACCGUUGUUCGGAUUCAUUGGGCGUAAAGGGUGCGUAGGCGGUCGCGCAAGUCGGAUGUGAAAUCUCAGGGCUCAACCCUGAAACUGCAUUCGAUACUGCGUGGCUAGAGUGCUGGAGAGGAGACUGGAAUUUACGGUGUAGCGGUGAAAUGCGUAGAUAUCGUAAGGAAGACCAGUGGCGAAGGCGGGUCUCUGGACAGUUCCUGACGCUGAGGCACGAAGGUCAGGGGAGCAAACGGG